GUGCCCGUGGUGGUGUUAGUGCCGGUUGCGGUAUUGGUAUUACCGGUGUUGAUGUCGUUUUUAUCAACACUCUUAGGUGCAACAUUCUGAUGAGCAUCC
Molecule: transfer RNA, 99 nt
Filed under: Enterobacter kobei
Lineage: Bacteria; Pseudomonadati; Pseudomonadota; Gammaproteobacteria; Enterobacterales; Enterobacteriaceae
Description: tRNA-Thr
Source: RNAcentral